UUUAUUGGUGGGCAUGAAUGGGAAAGGGCAGUGCUGAGGUUCUCAUGAAUGCAGAGCCUGCCAUUUGUCCAAGGGGCCACGAUUAGGGAUGUAUUUGACCCCACAGCCAUCUGGGAUGAGCCGCUUUUCAGCCACCAUGUCUUCAAAUUUGUCCACAUUAAACUUAAGAUCUGAAGAGCAC
Herpailurus yagouaroundi (jaguarundi) is the source of this 181-nucleotide long non-coding RNA. RefSeq lists it as uncharacterized. Lineage: Eukaryota; Metazoa; Chordata; Mammalia; Carnivora; Felidae. The transcript has 3 exons. The record is from RefSeq and is a predicted model, not a curated record.